CAAAUUGCUAAAAAAUAGUUGUUCAUACAUCCUCAUAGCUAGGCUGGUUGUGGAAGUCUCAAAAGAACAAUCUUUAAUGCACUCCCUCUUGAUGGCACACAUAAAAUAAUCUUUGGAAUCCUCAUCAAACCUUCUAAGGAAAACAACAGAGUUCAUACUACUGCUGCUAAAGACACUGCACCCACAAAUAACAAAGUCGAACAAAUUUGAGGAGCAGUAGGGACACACCUUCAACUAGAAACACAAUAGGCUUGAAGUUGUUUGAUAUUCAACUCUGAAGUGUAGCAAUCUUCUUUUUCUUUUAAAAUAAUUAACCUAAAUAGCCGCUCAACCAACCAUUUAAAACUGAAAUUCGAUCAUAAGUUUGUAAGAUCUUUCCAUGCAUAGUGUUAGACACCCAAUUUUGCACCUCCACCAUAUAAGUUAAUCAUUUCGAGCUUCUUCUAUUUCAAACCAUUUAAAAUAACUAGUUUUACAAAAUUUUAAGGAAAAAAAAAUCCAAAAUUUGGAAGUUAUUUUGAAUAAGCUUGUCACUUGUACAUAAUUAGUUUGUUUUAUAAAUAUUCAAAAAUCAUAUUAAAAAGAUUUUAAUUUUUAGUAAGUAUUUUAUUAAAUUAAAUUAGUUUAGCUUAAAUGAUACUUAUAUUUCUUCGUGUUAUUAGUUUAUAACUAGGUAAUUAUUUUAUGUCGUUAAGAUUAAGAUGUUCUUUAAUUAAUUUAUGCAAAAUCGUCUUGUUCAGAUUGUGACCUAGUAAACAGUUAAUUUAAAUUUGGGUACGAUCGAAAUUCAUUUGGGUUUCGUUUGACUAUAUUUCCUUGGCCAUUGAUGCAAUCCAUUGCUAUCCAUUUAAGUUUGAUGAUUUCAUUUUUUAGCCCAUUCGAAUUCUUCACACAUUCCAAUCCAACCCAAUUCCCUUUCUCAUAAAAAUCCAGAAGCCCGAAUUCCCAUCCCCAAUUCGACCCAGCCCAAUAUCACCCUAACCAAAUCUAACUCUCUUUAAUUCUUUUAUUUCCAGGCCAUGCCACACUCUUUUUCCCAAUUUCUUUUCACAAUUUAAUCCCAGCCCAAAUUCCCAACAAAUGACCCGGCCCACGUCUGUUUCUUUUUCCCAAAGAAGAACAAAAAGACGACAUCAACGUCAAAAUGCAGCGCCGAAAAUGCGCGUGAUCAAACGAAAGCGAGAUCACCCAGCAACCGCGAAGUCCAGUGGCGAUUCGGCCCACUCUCGCGUCGUUCUCUCUCAUUUCCCCUUUUCCUGUUUAAUACAAGGUUUCCAGGAAGACCAGCAAAAGCCUGAACCAGCCGCGUCUACUCGCCCUCGUGACUAUGAGAUGACGCCACGUCGAGCUCCAAGAAUUCGAGCCGUUCGCGUCCAUAUCAACUUUGCAAAUUUUGGUCAAAAAUCGGGUAUUCUCAAAAAACCCAACAGUCUCUUGUCCUUGAGGGUUUCAAAUAUUGAAAUGGGAUUUGGAUUUUCAAUUUUACCCUCAUCCGCCCGUUUCCCCCCCAAGUUUUUGGAACCGUAAAAAUCCCCCCUAUAUAUAUUUGCUUCAGCGUUCAAAAAAAUAAAGGGAGAAGAAAAAUAAAGUUGGGAAAAUUUAGGAGACAAUUUCUAACGGGAGAAACUGGUAAUAGACUUUUGGUUUGAGAAUUUUAGUCGCAAAGUUUUAGAGUAUAAAAUAUAUUAAUAUUACAUCAAGCGAGCAUUCACAAAAUUUGAUCGAGAUUCAAGAUUUCGCUUGGGUUCCUUUGUUGCUACCCUUGGCUAUUUUCGUGUGGUGAAGUCGUCACUAUCUCUCGUCGGUCUCAAUUUUCACUGCCUACAGAAAGGUAAUGUUUCUUCGCCCUAAUAUUAUUUUCAUUUCUUCUCUCGUGGGAGUGAUAUCCUGAUGUUUGAAGUUUUUUUUUUAAUUUUCAUGAUUGUUUGUUGUUAGUUACUGCUAAAUUGGUGCUAUUUUAAUAUAAUAUGUGUAUUCAUAGUCAUUUUUAUGGCGUAGCAUCGAGCUAAGACCUUGAAGGUUUUGUGGCCUGCUAGCAUGAAGUUUCGAGUUGUCGUUUUCUUUCUUGGGGUUUGCUGUGUGAUUCAAUGUUUGGAGCGAGUCAGUUUAUGGGUCGUUAUAUAGCAUGUUGUAUCUUGGCUGUCCAUCUAUGUUUCCGUUUUGCCUUUCUUUCUCGAGCUCUACCGCUUAAUGUCAGAAGGCUUGUGUGGUUCUGCCAAAACCAUGUUGAAGUAUUAGGUGUGUUAUGUUUAGGUUGUUCCUUACUAUUUGUCUAUCCUUAAGUCCUCAGAUCAAUUAAAAUGGCUAGUACAUAUUAUAAAAUAGCAUUCCUUUCUGUUGACACCCAAUUUUGAUCCUCACCCAUAAAGAUUAAGCAUCGAUCUUUUUCAAUUUUUUAACAAUUCCAAAUAAUUAGUUUUAUAAUUUUUUUUU
Solanum pennellii is the source of this 2433-nucleotide long non-coding RNA. RefSeq lists it as uncharacterized. The transcript has 2 exons. The record is from RefSeq and is a predicted model, not a curated record. NCBI's taxonomy places the organism in Eukaryota, Viridiplantae, Streptophyta, Magnoliopsida, Solanales, Solanaceae.